This 1083-nucleotide long non-coding RNA is filed under the name Homo sapiens (human). RNAcentral's name for it is "HSALNT0060047". Lineage: Eukaryota; Metazoa; Chordata; Mammalia; Primates; Hominidae. The record is from RNAcentral.
GCCCUCCGCGCGCAGUCGGGGCGGGGAGCAGCGCCGGGAGGUCCAUCUUGGUCCCAGCGACGGCGUCGGAGCAGCUUCGGACGCAGAGCUGCCCGCGCCCCGCCCAGGCAUUGACUGCGUCCCAGGGGCUGUACCUGUCCGAGCUGAUUAAGCGUGCGCGGUCACCCAGGGGUGAGGAAACAGGGACGGCGAGCUCGAGUCACUCGGCAGCCGGCAGAUCCAGGAUUCGAACCUGUCCAACAGGCCGGACGCCUACCCCCAGCUCACUUAAGUGCAAGCUCGCCUGCCGCCGCUGGCGCACAGACCUCGUUUGCUUUGGCCCAGGUCCUUGCUCGGCACACGGGGCCUCCCUGAUACGCAGGACCCCUGCCUGUAUUUCCAACUGUAUUUCCUACUAAACUUGGCACAACCUCACUCUGCAACAGCUUAAUUACUUACUGUUUCCGGUCCUCACCCUCCCCCACCUCACCGUACACCUCCGCAUUCAAUCUGGACUCCUCCACUUCAACUUCACCACCACUCAGAUCCAAACCCGCACUUUAUUCCUGGGUACCUGAAAAAUAACUACUAGCUGGUCAUCGGUCUCCCUCCGCUCCACUCGCUCCCAUCCACGGGGCACCGUUUUAUGAUCUAAAAAUUGCACAUCAAAUUAUGCUCACCUCCACCUUGCUCCCGAAGGCGCCUAUGGCCUUGCUAGUCUACCCUCCCCUACCUGUUUGCCCUCACUUCCCGCCACUCUCCCGCUGCCCCCCCCACCCCUCCCCCGCACCCCACCUCUUUUUCCCAGUUCAUCCAGCAAGCCAAGCUGGUUCCAGCCUCAGAGACUUGGCGCAGCUGAUCUCUGAUUCCUCUGGGAGGACUCUGCGCCCCUUCUGAUCCAAAGCACAUGCUUACCCAGUCCCGUAUUCCCACCUCUGUCUGAUCUGUUUGCUCUUAGAGCUCUCAUCACCCGUUGUUUUGUUGAGUUCCUUCCCUGCUCCUUCACUGUCUCUCCCUCUCUGGAAUGUAGGCUCCUGGAGCCCAGGAACUGUGUCCUAUUCACUGUGUGUGCCCAGGAAGACUCUUGGUGCAUAUUUGUUAAAU